Molecule: ribosomal RNA, 396 nt
Filed under: uncultured bacterium
Lineage: Bacteria
Description: partial 16S ribosomal RNA
Rfam family: Bacterial small subunit ribosomal RNA
Source: RNAcentral
AUACGUAGGGAGCGAGCGUUGUCCGGAAUUACUGGGUGUAAAGGGAGCGUAGGCGGGAUCGCAAGUCAGAUGUGAAAUACAUGGGCUUAACCCAUGGGCUGCAUUUGAAACUGUGGUUCUUGAGUGAAGUAGAGGUAAGCGGAAUUCCUGGUGUAGCAGUGAAAUGCGUAGAUAUCAGGAGGAACACCGGUGGCGAAGGCGGCUUACUGGGCUUUUACUGACGCUGAGGCUCGAAAGCGUGGGGAGCAAACAGGAUUAGAUACCCUGGUAGUCCACGCUGUAAACGAUGAUUACUAGGUGUGGGGGGACUGACCCCUUCCGUGCCGCAGUUAACACAAUAAGUAAUCCACCUGUGGAGUACGGCCGCAAGGUUGAAACUCAAAUGAAUUGACGGGG